This 305-nucleotide ribosomal RNA is filed under the name uncultured bacterium. Its description in RNAcentral is "bacterial SSU rRNA". It matches the Rfam family "Bacterial small subunit ribosomal RNA", at positions 336 to 655 of the family's 1533-position model. The record is from RNAcentral.
UUCCUACGGGGCGCAGCAGUGGGGAAUAUUGGGCAAUGGGCGCAAGCCUGACCCAGCAACGCCGCGUGAAGGAAGAAGGCUUUCGGGUUGUAAACUUCUUUUGUCAGGGACGAAGCAAGUGACGGUACCUGACGAAUAAGCCACGGCUAACUACGUGCCAGCAGCCGCGGUAAUACGUAGGUGGCAAGCGUUGUCCGGAUUUACUGGGUGUAAAGGGCGUGUAGCCGGGAAGGCAAGUCAGAUGUGAAAUCCGGAGGCUCAACCUCCGAAUUGCAUUUGAAACUGUUUUUCUUGAGUACUGGAGG